GGGGAACUUCAUUCAUAUCAGCAGCAGAGAUGUCAGAUCUGUGGUAGAGAUUCUCUCUUUUCAACUCAUCACAAGAUUAUACGAAGGUAGGAUGUAAAUCAAUGCAGUGGAGAACAUGUAUGGAGCAUCACAGACUGCAGAAUAAUUAAACAAAUGGACAAAAGAGAAAGAGAAAAAUGGCGAACAAAAAGGACAAAAAGUUACAAUGUAAUGAGUUGAAAAAGACGCUGAGACUAGAUCGACAAAACAGCAUUAAUAGUGGCAAACCAAACUUUUCUGACAUUGCAGCGUUUCAGAAGAGUCACAGACGAGAAAGCAGCAGUUUUAUUCACCUAACCAGCAAAAUAUUCUCCAUCAUCUUCAGUCACUGAUUAAACAAUAUAUAUUUUAGCAUUAUUAUUUAUUAUAAUAAUACAGAUGCAUGUAAAAUCAACAAAUAUGAAGUCCAUGGUUAAGAAAGACACUGUUACAGAAUAGACUAUAUAUAAAUGUAAAAUCCAUUUAUAAACAUUCAUCUUAUAUAUAAGAUGAAGGUGUAUAAAUGGAUACUAUAUUUAUAUAGAUAUUGUAUUUAUAAGUGCAUUUCAUGACUACAGUACUUUUUUCUGAAUGAAUCUGACCUGUUUUUACUGUAUGUGUAGCCACUUAAAACAGAUAGUUUUUUUUAGAAUUAUUUUUACUGUAACAAAUGUGUACAACUUCAAUAAACCUGUUCCAAACCUCUUGUAAAAAAUAAAUACAAUUUUUUUUGUGUGUUAA
Molecule: long non-coding RNA, 759 nt
Organism: Ctenopharyngodon idella (grass carp)
Lineage: Eukaryota; Metazoa; Chordata; Actinopteri; Cypriniformes; Xenocyprididae
Exons: 4
Source: RefSeq, a predicted model, not a curated record